RNAcentral lists this ribosomal RNA (472 nucleotides) under uncultured bacterium. Its description in RNAcentral is "partial 16S ribosomal RNA". It matches the Rfam family "Bacterial small subunit ribosomal RNA", at positions 28 to 507 of the family's 1533-position model. The record is from RNAcentral.
GACGAACGCUGGCGGCGUGCUUAACACAUGCAAGUCGAACGCUGAAGCUUGGUGCUUGCACUGGGUGGAUGAGUGGCGAACGGGUGAGUAAUAAGUGUGUACCCUGCCCUUGACUCUGGGAUAAGCCUGGGAAACUGGGUCUAAUACUGGAUACGACAUGUCACCGCAUGGUGGUGUGUGGAAAGGGUUUUACUGGUUUUGGAUGGGCUCACGGCCUAUCAGCUUGUUGGUGGGGUAAUGGCUCACCAAGGCGACGACGGGUAGCCGGCCUGAGAGGGUGACCGGCCACACUGGGACUGAGACACGGCCCAGACUCCUACGGGAGGCAGCAGUGGGGAAUAUUGCACAAUGGGCGGAAGCCUGAUGCAGCGACGCCGCGUGAGGGAUGACGGCCUUCGGGUUGUAAACCUCUUUCAGCACGGAAGAAGCGAAAGUGACGGUACGUGCAGAAGAAGCGCCGGCUAACUACGUG